GACGAACGCUGGCGGCGCGCCUAACACAUGCAAGUCGAACGGAAUCAAGAGGAGCUUGCUUUUCUUGAUUUAGUGGCGAACGGGUGAGUAACGCGUGAGUAACCUGCCCUGGAGUGGGGGACAACAGUUGGAAACGACUGCUAAUACCGCAUAAGCCCACGGUACCGCAUGGUACUGAGGGAAAAGGAUUUAUUCGCUCUAGGAUGGACUCGCGUCCAAUUAGCUAGUUGGUGAGGUAACGGCCCACCAAGGCGACGAUUGGUAGCCGGACUGAGAGGUUGAACGGCCACAUUGGGACUGAGACACGGCCCAGACUCCUACGGGAGGCAGCAGUGGGGGAUAUUGCACAAUGGGGGAAACCCUGAUGCAGCGACGCCGCGUGGAGGAAGAAGGUUUUCGGAUUGUAAACUCCUGUCGUUAGGGACGAUAAUGACGGUACCUAACAAGAAAGCACCGGCUAACUACGUGCCAGCAGCCGCAGUAA
This 484-nucleotide ribosomal RNA is filed under the name uncultured bacterium. RNAcentral describes it as "partial 16S ribosomal RNA". It matches the Rfam family "Bacterial small subunit ribosomal RNA", at positions 28 to 523 of the family's 1533-position model. The record is from RNAcentral.